GGGUCGUUAGCUCAGUUGGUAGAGCAGUUGACUGUUAAUCAAUUGGUCGCUGGUUCGAAUCCAGCACGACCCACCA
Molecule: transfer RNA, 76 nt
Filed under: Alteromonas macleodii
Lineage: Bacteria; Pseudomonadati; Pseudomonadota; Gammaproteobacteria; Alteromonadales; Alteromonadaceae
Description: tRNA-Asn
Rfam family: tRNA
About the family: Transfer RNA (tRNA) molecules are approximately 80 nucleotides in length. Their secondary structure includes four short double-helical elements and three loops (D, anti-codon, and T loops). Further hydrogen bonds mediate the characteristic L-shaped molecular structure. tRNAs have two regions of fundamental functional importance: the anti-codon, which is responsible for specific mRNA codon recognition, and the 3' end, to which the tRNAs corresponding amino acid is attached (by aminoacyl-tRNA synthetases). tRNAs cope with the degeneracy of the genetic code in two manners: having more than one tRNA (with a specific anti-codon) for a particular amino acid; and 'wobble' base-pairing, i.e. permitting non-standard base-pairing at the 3rd anti-codon position.
Source: RNAcentral